This is a non-coding RNA of Bos taurus (domestic cattle), 73 nucleotides long. Lineage: Eukaryota; Metazoa; Chordata; Mammalia; Artiodactyla; Bovidae. The record is from Rfam.
UCCCUGAUGGUCCAGUGGUUAAGACUCUGCACUUCUGGUGCAGGGGGCCUGGGUUUGAUCCCUAGUUGGGGAU